UUAGAAACAAAUUUUAUUUUUCAAGGUAAAUACAGACACAGAGACACUUGUUCUGACCAACAGAUUGACCUCCACAGACUGUAUCCAACAAGAUAUUACAACUCAGACUGAUUGUGCAUAAUCAAAAGGGGGUCCUGAUGGGCUGGAUGCAGUUCAAUUAGGGUCCUCAUUGGCAGUAAGUAGUAACACUUCAGCUCUGUAAAAUGUCAAAAAGGGCCAUCUGGACUGAAUUUUGAUGUUAUGCCUUCAUAAUUUCCUCAAUGGGAGUUUGUAUACAUGCAGAGGCCUUGACAAAACACUGCUACAAAGAUACCCCUCAGCCUCAAAGACAUAAAAAACACAGAGUCUCAAAGAUAUUUUAUAGAACACUGUCUCAAAGACAUAAAAAGAACAAACAGUGUCUCAAAGAUAUGUAUAGAACAGUGUUUCAAAGAUAUAAA
This is a long non-coding RNA of Haliotis rubra (blacklip abalone), 440 nucleotides long. RefSeq lists it as uncharacterized. The transcript is spliced from 2 exons. Lineage: Eukaryota; Metazoa; Mollusca; Gastropoda; Lepetellida; Haliotidae. The record is from RefSeq and is a predicted model, not a curated record.